UGCCCCAUGGCUGAGUUGGUUACAGCGUCCGACUGUUAUCAUUCAUUUUCGAAUGUGUAUAAUUAAUCGGAAGGUCGAGAGUUCGAGCCUCUCUGGGGCAG
Molecule: non-coding RNA, 101 nt
Organism: Armillaria borealis
Lineage: Eukaryota; Fungi; Basidiomycota; Agaricomycetes; Agaricales; Physalacriaceae
Source: the annotation of a GenBank genome assembly